RNAcentral lists this long non-coding RNA (5177 nucleotides) under Homo sapiens (human). Its description in RNAcentral is "HSALNT0074438". The record is from RNAcentral. Lineage: Eukaryota; Metazoa; Chordata; Mammalia; Primates; Hominidae.
GGAAAACUAGUUUAAUGCAUAGGUUCACUGAAGAAUGGCUAGCCAUGUAGGAAUAUGAUUAGACAAAAAGAGUGUGAUCUAAUGGUAAUAACAGAGGUUGGGGCAGGGGAGGGAAAUCCAGAAAGGCCUGUCUGUUCAGAUUUUUCUUGGCCUGUGUAGCAUUUUUUCCUCCUGGGGAUGGGGCAGGACCCCUCUGAAAUGAGGGUCUCCAAGGAAGAAGGGAGAAGGAAAAGGGAGUGGCCUUUCUAGGUUUUAUGGCUUGCUUUGGGGGAAAGGGAUUCUAGUUUCUAUGACCCACCUUGGGGAAGAGGAAUUCUGGUUUCUGUGAAUCACCUCAGAGGAGAAAGACUGGUGGAAAACCGAAGGAUGGGAGAGGUCAGAGAGCCCCGCCUUCUGAGACCUUCCAGUCUCCUUCAGUUUAAAUUACUCAGCAUGUCAAAGUGUUCAGAGCCCAACACCAGGUUAUUGGGCCUUAUGUUCCAAGUAGAGAACUGCAUGGUGUAGACAAGAGGUGGUAUUGAAGGACUGGGUGGCAGAGCAGGGACAAGGUCAAUGGCAUUUCGGAGUUACUCAUCUGGUACCAGUGUGGAGCCUGGAUUCCAGAAGAGGAGUGAAAAAAGGAACCAGGGUGAAAAGAAAUUGAGGAAGUAGAAUGUGCCGACUUGCCACACCUGCUGUGCACAGUAAGGAAGAGGGAAGAAGACGGUUCCCGCACUUCUGGCCUGACACACCAGCCAACAGUUGUAUCAAUCAGGACUCUUUCUAAUGCAAGUCACAGAGUAUUAAGCAAUAAGGAAGUUUCUUGGCUUAUGUAGCUGAAAAAUCCUAAGUGCAGCCAAUUUUGAUAUGCUUGGUCACAACGAAAGCUUUAACAACAACAACAACAUAAUUUAUAGGUCAUAUUCUCAAAUCAAAAACUGAAAAAUUUCACAUACAUGAUAAAAAUGACCUAAAAAACUUUAUGUAUUUAGAAAUUAAAGAGCAAACUCUUAGAUAAGUCUUGGAUCAAAAAGGAAGUAAAAGAGGACUCGCAAAGUAUCUAGAAACCAAUGAAAAGGAAAUUACUUUCUAUUGCACCAGACAGGACCCUGAGAAUGGUACUCAGAGAAUAUUUGGAGUUCUCAAAUGCCUUGCAACUGAAAAAUAAAGCCAAAAAAUAAAGGAACUAACUAUUCCUCUCAAAAAUUUAGAAAGAGGCUGGGCGCAGUGGCUCAUGCCUGUAAUCCCAGCACUUUGGGAGUCCGAGUCGGACAGAUCAUAAGGUCAGGAGAUCGAGACCAUCCUGGCUAACACGGUGAAACCCCGUAUCUACUAAAAAAAAUACAAAAAAAAAAAAAAUUAGCUGGGCAUGGUGGCGGGUGCCUGUAGUCCCAGCUACUCAGGAGGCUAAGGCAGGAGAAUGGCGUGAACCCAGUAGGUGGAGCUUGUAGUGAGCCAAGAUCGUGCCACUGCACUCCAACCUGGGUGACAGAGUGAGACUCUGUCUCAAAAAAAAAAAAAAAAAAAAUUUAGAAACAGAAAUCAGGAAAUUGACAUUGACAAAAGUCAAAUUUAGAAUUAAUGAUUUAGAAAAAAGAAAGAAUAAAGAACAGUAGGAGGGAAAAUAUGUGAAAUCUACUGAAAAUAACUCCAAAUGUUUAUUGGAUAGACUAAUAAAAUAAACAGCUUACAAGUUUGAAGAGGGAAAAAAGAAAAAAAGAGAUUAGGAAGCUGAAGUCGAUUAAAAGAUUCAAGAGAGUCACCACAGCCAAUGCUAUGACAGUGAAUAUGAAAAGCUAUAGGAAACGUAUGAUUUUUUUUUGCAAAAUACAGACUAUUUAAAUUCAUCCAAGAAGAGAGGAAAAAUGUGAAUGGACAAAUUAUUACAUGAAUGGACCAAUUAUUACAGAAGUAAUGGUAAAGUGCUUGGACGUUUACUAUUGAAAAGACCUUAGGGCCAGAUGGCCUUAGAGUUGAGUUUGUUUUUCCUUUUUUAACUGAUAUAUAAUAGUUGUACAUUUUUUGGUUUUAAAAUUGAUAUAUAAUAGUUGUACAUAUGUAGCUGAGUUUCAGCUAAGCUCUAAAGUUCUGAUAAUUUACCUCUAAAGGUCUGAUAAUUCCAAUGUUAAGUGAUUUUUUUUUAAGAGACAGGGUCUGGCUAUGUUGCCUAGGCUGGAGUGCGGUGGCUAUUCACAGGCAUGAUCACUGCACGCUACAGUCUCAAACUCUGACCUCAACUGUUCUUCCUGUCUCAGCCUUCCAAGUAGCUGGGACUAAAGGCAUGAGCCACUGCACCCGGCCCAAUGUUAAAUUAUUUAAACCCUUGCUACUCAAAGUGUGUCCGAGGACUGUAGUAUUAAUACCACCUAGAUGCUGAUUAGGAAUGCAGGUUUAGCUACUCCAAGCCAUAUAAAAAUCUUUUAAAUUCACAUUUUGAAGCCAAUACAAUUUUAAUAUCAAAACAUAAGAAAGAAAAAAGGAUAGAGUAAUAUUUGUUAAUUACAAUUAUAAUUAUAGACUAAUUUCACUUAUGAUUUAGAAAUACAAAUUAUAAAUAAAAUAUUAGCUUAUAUAGGUCUUCAUUAUAUCAAGAGUAAAAUACAAUGAACAGCAAGGUUUAUUCCACAACUGCAAGAGUGGUUCAAUAUCCAAAUCCCAGUAACCUAAUCCAUUACACUGAUAAACUACAGAAGAAAAACAUCAGCAGCUGUUCAAAUGAUAAUUGAUAAAAUUCAGCAGCCAUUCCUAAUAAAAAUUCUAAGUAGGCAUGAAAAAAUUUAAACUGACAAAAACUACCAGAAACCAAUAGCAAAUAUUAUCUUAUAUAGAGACACUACUGAAAGCAUUUUAGUCAAGAAACAGAUAGAUACCUGCACCAUCAUUAUUAUUUAAUAUUAUUUUAGAUAUUUUAGCAAAUGCAAGAAGAAAAAAAGUUAACUAGUAAGUAUAAAUAUCAGAAAAGAAAAAAUAAAAACAUGUCUUUUGAUAUGGUUGCAUAUUUAGAAAACUCAAGAUAAUUAAGAAGGCAAAACAGGCUGGGCGUGAUGGCUCAUGCCUGUAAUCCCAGAACUUUGGGAGGCCAAGGCAGGAGGAUCUCUUGAGGCCAGAAGUUUGAGACAAACCUGGUCAAUAUAGUGAAACUCGUCUCUACCAAAAAUAUAAAAAAUUAGCUGAGCGUGAUGGCACACACCUGUAGUCCCAGCUACUCAGGAGGCUGAAGCAUGAGAAUCACUUGAACCCGGGAGGCAGAGGUUGCAGUGAGCCGAGAUUGCGCCACUGUACUCCAGCCUAGGUGACAAAAAAAAAAAAAAGAAAAAGAAAAAAGCUAUUGUUUUUUGUGUAUCUAUGUAGCAUCCUAUAUCUUAUCACACUCUCUUAAUAUGUCUUGUAAUUGUUUUGCCUUCUUUUUUAUUUUUUUGAGACAGAGUCUCGCUCUGUCCCCAGGCUGGAGUACAGUGGCAUGGGUACCAGUGGCUACUCGAGUAGCUGGGAUUACACGUGCGUGCCACCAUGCCCAGCUAAUUUUUGUAUUUUUAGUAGAGACAGGGUUUCACCAUGUUGGCCAGGCUGGUCUCUAACUCCUGAUUGCAAGUGACCCUCCCGCCUUGGCCCCCCAAAGUGCUAGGAUUAUAGGUGUGAGCCACUGCUCCCAGCCCACAAUAGCUUUUUUUCUACCUUAAUAGGAACCAACUAAAAAUAAGAAUGGGAACAUAUUUAUGCAUAUAUAAUGUUGACAUAAACUAUACAUUCUUUAGGAAUAGUUCUAACAAGUAAGUAACAGAAAAUAUAGGGGAAAAACUCUUAGUUAAGAAAACUAUGAGAAAGAAAAACAAUAAGGGAGAUUUGCCCUACCAGAUAAUCGGAAACUAAAGCCACAAUAAUCAAACCUCUACAAGUAUGGAUAUAGAGUUAGAUUCUGAGGAGAUGUUCACGUAGACAAAUGUGGUAAUUUAAUUCAGGAGGAAAGAAAUGGGCCAUUUAAUUAACAACUGACUACUUUCUGGAAGAAAAUUUAAAAAGACUCUGUCUUAUACUACAUAUGAAAAUACACUGCAGAUGAAUAAAAGGCUUAGAUAUAAAUUUUAAAACUCUAGGCAAGAAAUCUAGGUAACUACAUGAUCAAUAGAAACCUACAAGCGAUAAAGUAAAGGUAGCCAUGUUUGAUUAUAUAAAAAAUUUUUUAAAUUUAAGACAAAACCAAUCAUAAACAAAGUCAAUAACAGUAGAUUUGAAAAUAAUAAUAAAGCAUAUGAUAGAAAAGGGGUUGAUUUUUAAAAAACAGAUGAAGAGCUCUUACAAAUUGACAAGAAAAAUGACCAAAAACCCAACAGAAAAUGUGCAACCAAUAUGAAUUGCAAGGGGAUAGAGAAAAAUAAAUCCAAAGACCCACAAACAUAUGAAAAGACACUUAAAUUCACUAGAGUUAGGGAAAUACAGGCUACAGUAACAGUAAGAUAUUACAGGUUAAGCAUUUCUAAUCUGAAAAUCUGAAAUGCUCCAAAAUCAGAAACUUUGAGUGUGGACAUGACACUCUAAAUGGGAAAUUCCACACUGACCUCAUGUGACAGAUCUCAGUCAAAACGCAGAUGUCAACUGCACGGUUUAUUUAGCAUCUGCAAGGUAAUCAAGACCCUCCCGGCCCCCAUCAGCUAUGAUGUAUCUUUUCUGUGCAUGGCCAGAUUCCCUCACGCAAGCAAACCCACAAAAGGUCUUAGAAUGGUAGGUAUGAAGACCAGAUAUGCCAAUGGCAGGUUUGUCAUGAUACCCCACAUGGGGCCAAUACCUAUAUGCAUUACUCACUGUAGUUUUUUCUGCUUAUUCUCUCUCUUGUGGCAUAAAGAUAUUGUUGAAAAUGUCUAGAAGGCCCACAUGAUGCCCAGAGGGUAAUGCAAAUAUUCCAAAACAAAAUCUGAAACACUUUUGGCUCCAAGCAUUUUGGGUAAGGGACCUCAACCUGUACUUGGUAUCCAUCUGAUUGGCAAAAGUUAAAAGGAAUCAUACUGUUACCUGCUAGUGGGAUAUGAGAAAAAUGUCAUCAUACCUAUUGGUGGAAACAUAAAGUGUUAUGGCUUGUUUUGGAAGGCAAUGUGGAUUAAUAAAUGAGUUAAUAUUUGAGAAAUGCUGAAAACACUGUCUGUCAUAUAAUAAAUGCUAUGUACAUUCUUGUUAAGUAAACAAAAGUUCUCUGAAAAAUAAAA